AACGCACAUUGCGCCCCUUGGUAUUCCGAGGGGCAUGCCUGUUCGAGCGUCAUUUCAACCCCUCAAGCUCUGCUUGGUGUUGGGUCGCGCUGCUGCUCCGGCGGCGGGCCCUAAAAUCAGUUGGCGGUGCCGUCGCGGCUCCAAGCGUAGUAGCAUACCUCUCGCUCUGGAAACCCGGCGGUUGCCUGCCCCCUAAACCAGAUUAAAUUCUCACGGUUGACCUCGGAUCAGGUAGGGAUACCCGCUGAACUUAA
Molecule: unclassified non-coding RNA, 254 nt
Filed under: uncultured Helotiales
Lineage: Eukaryota; Fungi; Ascomycota; Leotiomycetes; Helotiales
Description: sequence contains 5.8S rRNA gene, ITS2, 28S rRNA gene
Rfam family: 5.8S ribosomal RNA (bases 1-52)
Source: RNAcentral